UGGACUCCUAUGUGUGUGAGAUGGUCAGG
This 29-nucleotide non-coding RNA is filed under the name Homo sapiens (human). Lineage: Eukaryota; Metazoa; Chordata; Mammalia; Primates; Hominidae. The record is from RNAcentral.